Molecule: ribosomal RNA, 2902 nt
Filed under: Escherichia coli UMEA 4075-1
Lineage: Bacteria; Pseudomonadati; Pseudomonadota; Gammaproteobacteria; Enterobacterales; Enterobacteriaceae
Description: bacterial LSU rRNA
Rfam family: Bacterial large subunit ribosomal RNA
Source: RNAcentral
UUAAGCGACUAAGCGUACACGGUGGAUGCCCUGGCAGUCAGAGGCGAUGAAGGACGUGCUAAUCUGCGAUAAGCGUCGGUGAGGUGAUAUGAACCGUUAUAACCGGCGAUUUCCGAAUGGGGAAACCCAGUGUGUUUCGACACACUAUCAUUAACUGAAUCCAUAGGUUAAUGAGGCGAACCGGGGGAACUGAAACAUCUAAGUACCCCGAGGAAAAGAAAUCAACCGAGAUUCCCCCAGUAGCGGCGAGCGAACGGGGAGGAGCCCAGAGCCUGAAUCAGUGUGUGUGUUAGUGGAAGCGUCUGGAAAGGCGCGCGAUACAGGGUGACAGCCCCGUACACAAAAAUGCACAUGCUGUGAGCUCGAUGAGUAGGGCGGGACACGUGGUAUCCUGUCUGAAUAUGGGGGGACCAUCCUCCAAGGCUAAAUACUCCUGACUGACCGAUAGUGAACCAGUACCGUGAGGGAAAGGCGAAAAGAACCCCGGCGAGGGGAGUGAAAAAGAACCUGAAACCGUGUACGUACAAGCAGUGGGAGCCUCUUUAUGGGGUGACUGCGUACCUUUUGUAUAAUGGGUCAGCGACUUAUAUUCUGUAGCAAGGUUAACCGAAUAGGGGAGCCGAAGGGAAACCGAGUCUUAACUGGGCGUUAAGUUGCAGGGUAUAGACCCGAAACCCGGUGAUCUAGCCAUGGGCAGGUUGAAGGUUGGGUAACACUAACUGGAGGACCGAACCGACUAAUGUUGAAAAAUUAGCGGAUGACUUGUGGCUGGGGGUGAAAGGCCAAUCAAACCGGGAGAUAGCUGGUUCUCCCCGAAAGCUAUUUAGGUAGCGCCUCGUGAAUUCAUCUCCGGGGGUAGAGCACUGUUUCGGCAAGGGGGUCAUCCCGACUUACCAACCCGAUGCAAACUGCGAAUACCGGAGAAUGUUAUCACGGGAGACACACGGCGGGUGCUAACGUCCGUCGUGAAGAGGGAAACAACCCAGACCGCCAGCUAAGGUCCCAAAGUCAUGGUUAAGUGGGAAACGAUGUGGGAAGGCCCAGACAGCCAGGAUGUUGGCUUAGAAGCAGCCAUCAUUUAAAGAAAGCGUAAUAGCUCACUGGUCGAGUCGGCCUGCGCGGAAGAUGUAACGGGGCUAAACCAUGCACCGAAGCUGCGGCAGCGACACUAUGUGUUGUUGGGUAGGGGAGCGUUCUGUAAGCCUGUGAAGGUGGCCUGUGAGGGUUGCUGGAGGUAUCAGAAGUGCGAAUGCUGACAUAAGUAACGAUAAAGCGGGUGAAAAGCCCGCUCGCCGGAAGACCAAGGGUUCCUGUCCAACGUUAAUCGGGGCAGGGUGAGUCGACCCCUAAGGCGAGGCCGAAAGGCGUAGUCGAUGGGAAACAGGUUAAUAUUCCUGUACUUGGUGUUACUGCGAAGGGGGGACGGAGAAGGCUAUGUUGGCCGGGCGACGGUUGUCCCGGUUUAAGCGUGUAGGCUGGUUUUCCAGGCAAAUCCGGAAAACCAAGGCUGAGGCGUGAUGACGAGGCACUACGGUGCUGAAGCGACAAAUGCCCUGCUUCCAGGAAAAGCCUCUAAGCAUCAGGUAACAUCAAAUCGUACCCCAAACCGACACAGGUGGUCAGGUAGAGAAUACCAAGGCGCUUGAGAGAACUCGGGUGAAGGAACUAGGCAAAAUGGUGCCGUAACUUCGGGAGAAGGCACGCUGAUAUGUAGGUGAAGCGACUUGCUCGUGGAGCUGAAAUCAGUCGAAGAUACCAGCUGGCUGCAACUGUUUAUUAAAAACACAGCACUGUGCAAACACGAAAGUGGACGUAUACGGUGUGACGCCUGCCCGGUGCCGGAAGGUUAAUUGAUGGGGUUAGCGGCAACGCGAAGCUCUUGAUCGAAGCCCCGGUAAACGGCGGCCGUAACUAUAACGGUCCUAAGGUAGCGAAAUUCCUUGUCGGGUAAGUUCCGACCUGCACGAAUGGCGUAAUGAUGGCCAGGCUGUCUCCACCCGAGACUCAGUGAAAUUGAACUCGCUGUGAAGAUGCAGUGUACCCGCGGCAAGACGGAAAGACCCCGUGAACCUUUACUAUAGCUUGACACUGAACAUUGAGCCUUGAUGUGUAGGAUAGGUGGGAGGCUUUGAAGUGUGGACGCCAGUCUGCAUGGAGCCGACCUUGAAAUACCACCCUUUAAUGUUUGAUGUUCUAACGUUGGCCCGUAAUCCGGGUUGCGGACAGUGUCUGGUGGGUAGUUUGACUGGGGCGGUCUCCUCCUAAAGAGUAACGGAGGAGCACGAAGGUUGGCUAAUCCUGGUCGGACAUCAGGAGGUUAGUGCAAUGGCAUAAGCCAGCUUGACUGCGAGCGUGACGGCGCGAGCAGGUGCGAAAGCAGGUCAUAGUGAUCCGGUGGUUCUGAAUGGAAGGGCCAUCGCUCAACGGAUAAAAGGUACUCCGGGGAUAACAGGCUGAUACCGCCCAAGAGUUCAUAUCGACGGCGGUGUUUGGCACCUCGAUGUCGGCUCAUCACAUCCUGGGGCUGAAGUAGGUCCCAAGGGUAUGGCUGUUCGCCAUUUAAAGUGGUACGCGAGCUGGGUUUAGAACGUCGUGAGACAGUUCGGUCCCUAUCUGCCGUGGGCGCUGGAGAACUGAGGGGGGCUGCUCCUAGUACGAGAGGACCGGAGUGGACGCAUCACUGGUGUUCGGGUUGUCAUGCCAAUGGCACUGCCCGGUAGCUAAAUGCGGAAGAGAUAAGUGCUGAAAGCAUCUAAGCACGAAACUUGCCCCGAGAUGAGUUCUCCCUGACUCCUUGAGAGUCCUGAAGGAACGUUGAAGACGACGACGUUGAUAGGCCGGGUGUGUAAGCGCAGCGAUGCGUUGAGCUAACCGGUACUAAUGAACCGUGAGGCUUAACCUU